GCCCUCAUAGCUCAGGGGAUAGAGCGUCCGCCUCCGGAGCGGAAGGCCGUAGGUUCAAUUCCUACUGGGGGCACCA
Molecule: transfer RNA, 76 nt
Filed under: Coriobacteriia bacterium
Lineage: Bacteria; Bacillati; Actinomycetota; Coriobacteriia
Description: tRNA-Arg
Rfam family: tRNA
About the family: Transfer RNA (tRNA) molecules are approximately 80 nucleotides in length. Their secondary structure includes four short double-helical elements and three loops (D, anti-codon, and T loops).
Source: RNAcentral